This 2178-nucleotide ribosomal RNA is filed under the name Triticum aestivum (bread wheat). Its description in RNAcentral is "partial small subunit ribosomal RNA". The record is from RNAcentral. Lineage: Eukaryota; Viridiplantae; Streptophyta; Magnoliopsida; Poales; Poaceae.
AUGGCGGUUGAACCUCACCUUGACGAUCUGGACACCGCCGCAGCAACCUACCAACCAUACGACAGAGCUUCCUCUUUCCAGCAGCAACUCACCGUGGACAGCUACGACCUGAGUGGUCCACUGUUCUUGGCCCAGGCAACAACCACUGGAGCAAGCACAUAUCUGCAUGCUGCAGUCACCAGCCCUGUGUUGUGCAAGGUGAACAGCAGCCUACAGACUGCUGCAGGGGGUAGCCCUGAGCACAGCCGGAGUAGAUCAAAUGAUGCUCUUCACUAUAUAAGCCAGAUGCUGAUGGAAGACGUCGACGAGAGGGUCGAAAUAAGCCAAGGGGAGGCUGCUCUCCAGGCUGCUGAGAAACCAUUCCGUGACCUUCUUGGGCAGGUACACCCGUUGGCUACUAACCCUGCGCUAUUGAAUAGUAACAACGAACUAGCCAGCCCUGAUAAGAGUAGGACCAGCCGUUACAAGAGACUCUGGAGCACUAGCUUCAGUAAUGACUGUCCCAGUUACAGCAUGUUACAGCCCUUUACAACCUCGUUGAGUCCAUAUAUCUGCAAUAGGAGUCUUUCUCUACAAAACCGCCCGUUCACAAGUGUUGGAUCGACUUCUAGAUCUGGUUUCCCCGGCUUGCAUUGUCAGAGAGAAGUCGAGGAGGCAACGAUGUUUGCUCCAAGUAUCGAUAAGCUGGUGAUAUAUUUAGAGAAUGGCAUACUUUCUAUUUCCAAAGUGACUACAAAGGCAAAAGUAGGAGAGAGGAGCGAAAACACAAUUUUUGAGGUGGCACACCAAAGUGACUGGGAUAUCUUGGAAGGAAGGAGCAAUAAACAUCUUGCCUUCACCAGUUGUGCAAUAAUUCGAAAUGAAAAUUUCGACCAAGUUCUGCUAUGCUAUGGCCUGGAGAGUUUCAAAAAAACAACAAGACUGCGAAGAGGGUUGGCAGAGGAAGGAAACAAGAACUCACUGAAAGGCCGGAGCGAAGGACAUCAGAAGCAAUGGCAGAGGAAGCAACCUAGGACAGAGUUGGUUGAUCUCAAGAUUCUCCUCAUCAAUUGUUCACAAGCUGUGGCAGAAGACAACCAUCUGUUGGCCAGUAAACUCCUAAAGAAGAUAAGACAACAUUCCUCAGCAGAUGGUGAUUGUUCUCAGAGACUGGCAUUUUACUUGGCGGAUGGCCUCGAGGCACGCUUGGCUGGGACCGGGUGUCAGGUUUAUCGCAACCUAAUGGAGAGGCGAACAAGUACAACAGAUUGGUUAGAUGCUCACAGCCUUUUUAUUGCAUCUUGUCCUUUUGUCAGGACGUCAUACUACUUUGCCAGCCAAGCUAUUCUUGAUGUCUCACAAGGGAAACCAAGGGUGCACAUCGUUGACUUUGGCAUCGGCUUCGGCUUUCAGUGGCCGUUAAUGAUUCAGAAGUUUGCACAGCAAGAAGAGGGAGCCCCUAAGCUUCGGAUCACAGGUAUAGAUGUUCCCCAGCCAGGUUUCCGCCCCUGCGAAAUGAUCGAGGAGACAGGGAAGCGGUUGGCUGAUUAUGCAAACAUGUUCAAGGUACCUUUUCAGUAUCAGGGCAUUGCCGCUUCAAGAUGGGAGACCAUUAAAAUUGAGGAUCUUAACAUUGACGAGGAUGAAGUUCUGAUAAUCAACUGCAUGUUCCGGAUGAAGAAUCUCGGACAUGAAACUGAAGCCAUAAAUAGUGCAAGGGACAAGGUGCUCAAAAUGAUGAGGAUGAUGAACCCAAAGGUUUUUAUUUCAGGCACCGUAAAUGGGUUACGCAGUUCUCCCUUCUUCAUAAAACGUUUCAAAGAGGUUAUGUUCCAUUACUCUUCAAUGUUUGACAUGCUUGAUGCAAACGUUAUUCCACGGGAUAAUGAAGCAAGAAAGAUGAUUGAGACGAUGAUAUUUGGGAAGGAUGCACUUAACAUGAUAGCAUGUGAGGGUGCAGAAAGAACUGAGAGACCAGAAAGUUACAGGCAGUGGCACGCAAGGUGCCUCAAGGCCGGGUUCCAGCAGCUUCCUGUCGAUCCAGCCAUCUUAAGGAUAAUAGUAUACAUGAAGAACACGUUUUGGCAUGAGGAAUUCUUUGCUGUUGAAGACCGCGGUUGGCUGCUACAAGGAUGGAAAGGGAGAGUAAUUUAUGCAAUAUCUAAAUGGAAACCUGACGAAACAUAUGAUGGUCAGUAA